Molecule: ribosomal RNA, 245 nt
Filed under: uncultured bacterium
Lineage: Bacteria
Description: partial 16S ribosomal RNA
Rfam family: Bacterial small subunit ribosomal RNA
Source: RNAcentral
AGUAACACGUGGAUAAUCUGCCCUGCACAGGGGGACAACAGCUAGAAAUGGCUGCUAAUACCGCAUAAGCCUACAGCCUCGCAUGAGGGAGUAGGAAAAGAAAUUCGGUGCAGGAUGAGUCCGCGUCUGAUUAGCUAGUUGGAGGGGUAAAAGCCCCACCAAGGCAACGAUCAGUAGCCGGCCUGAGAGGGCGACCGGCCACAUUGGGACUGAGACACGGCCCAAACUCCUACGGAAGGCAGCAG